RNAcentral lists this ribosomal RNA (253 nucleotides) under uncultured bacterium. Its description in RNAcentral is "partial 16S ribosomal RNA". It matches the Rfam family "Bacterial small subunit ribosomal RNA", at positions 524 to 776 of the family's 1533-position model. The record is from RNAcentral.
UACAGAGGGUGCAAGCGUUAAUCGGAGUUACUGGGCGUAAAGGGCGCGUAGGCGGUCAUGUAAGUGAGAUGUGAAAUCCCUGGGCUUAACCUAGGAACUGCAUCUUAUACUGUAUGACUGGAGUACUGUAGAGGGUAGUGGAAUUUCCGGUGUAGCGGUGAAAUGCGUAGAGAUCGGAAGGAACACCAGUGGCGAAGGCGGGUCUCUGGACAGUUCCUGACGCUGAGGCACGAAGGUCAGGGGAGCAAACGGG